This 253-nucleotide ribosomal RNA is filed under the name uncultured bacterium. Its description in RNAcentral is "partial 16S ribosomal RNA". It matches the Rfam family "Bacterial small subunit ribosomal RNA", at positions 524 to 776 of the family's 1533-position model. The record is from RNAcentral.
UACAGAGGGGGCAAGCGUUGUUCGGAAUUACUGGGCGUAAAGGGCGCGUAGGCGGCCAUUCAAGUCGGAGGUGAAAGCCCAGGGCUCAACCCUGGAAUUGCCUUCGAUACUGUUUGGCUAGAGACCGGAAGAGGUAAGUGGAACUGCGAGUGUAGAGGUGAAAUUCGUAGAUAUUCGCAAGAACACCAGUGGCGAAGGCGGCUUACUGGUCCGGUUCUGACGCUGAGGCGCGAAAGCGUGGGGAGCAAACAGG